UGCCAGCCGCCGCGGUAAUACGGAGGGUGCGAGCGUUAAUCGGAAUUACUGGGCGUAAAGCGCAUGCAGGUGGUUCAUUAAGUCAGAUGUGAAAGCCCGGGGCUCAACCUCGGAACUGCAUUUGAAACUGGUGAACUAGAGUGCUGUAGAGGGGGGUAGAAUUUCAGGUGUAGCGGUGGAAUGCGUAGAUAUUAUGAAGAAUACCAGUGGCGAAGGCGGCCUCCUGGAUCUGUACUGACACUGAGGUGCGAAAGCGUGGGUAGCGAACAGGAUUAGAUA
RNAcentral lists this ribosomal RNA (279 nucleotides) under uncultured bacterium. RNAcentral's name for it is "partial 16S ribosomal RNA". It matches the Rfam family "Bacterial small subunit ribosomal RNA", at positions 506 to 784 of the family's 1533-position model. The record is from RNAcentral.